AUUGAACGCUGGCGGCAGGCCUAACACAUGCAAGUCGAGCGGAUGAAGGGAGCUUGCUCCUGGAUUCAGCGGCGGACGGGUGAGUAAUGCCUAGGAAUCUGCCUGGUAGUGGGGGAUAACGUCCGGAAACGGGCGCUAAUACCGCAUACGUCCUGAGGGGGAAAGUGGGGGAUCUUCGGACCUCACGCUAUCAGAUGAGCCUAGGUCGGAUUAGCUAGUUGGUGGGGUAAAGGCCUACCAAGGCGACGAUCCGUAACUGGUCUGAGAGGAUGAUCAGUCACAGUGGAGGGGAAGCACGGACCAGGCUCCUACGGGAGGAAGCAGGGGGGAAUAUGGGACAAGGGGCGAAAGCCGAAUCGCGCAAGGCGGGGUGUGGGAAGAAGGUCUUGGGAUGGUAAAGAACUUUAGGUUGGGGGGAGGGAAAUGAAGUUAAUCCCUUGCUUUUUUGACUUUACCAAAAAAAUAAGCCCCGGCUAACUUCGUG
RNAcentral lists this ribosomal RNA (484 nucleotides) under uncultured bacterium. RNAcentral's name for it is "partial 16S ribosomal RNA". It matches the Rfam family "Bacterial small subunit ribosomal RNA", at positions 29 to 507 of the family's 1533-position model. The record is from RNAcentral.